CUUGGGGGAAAGAAAACAUGUAAUAAUCAUCCACAAGAAAACUGUAGUGUGAAGUAAAAAACAACAAAAAAAAAAAAACAGGGGUUCUUAAUCAGUUCACUACAAAAAUAUAUUCUAGGCUGAUGCUAAACACCCAGCGUUGUGAGACACAGUACCAAAAUAUUUCCUUGUACGAUCUAAAUAGCAGCCAACCCAAGUCACAACAGGCCCACAGGUACAGACUGAGUCCCAUACAUACUGUAUAUAUUAACAUUUCACUACAAUAGCUUAGUUACAUUCCUAAAUUACAUCAUUCAUUGCUGGGAUAUAAAAACGGUUUACAUAAAAAAUAAUUAAAAAUCAGACCCCAUAGAAAGCUGCCCUCCCCCCAAUAGUACAGCACUGUGAGCUCCGCAGUAGUGACGGCGUACCUGUGGCAGGUUACAGGGUAUAGAGUGGACGGGGGGGGGGGGGGGGGGGCCUCCACCCGAAUGAUUUGAAAACAUUUUCACACCAGCACGGCUUCCAUUAAACAACUUGCGUAUCUUUUUUAGGCAUCAUUGACAACGUGAGAGUUUGAAUACUAUGGAAGCUCAUUUAAAUGUUAAAAUAGCAAAGAUGAGACAAGCUAUUGACAUACCAAGGUACAGUAAAACAAACUUUAAAUUCAAACAGUUUCCUGAAAUUUGUGUAAAAAAAACAAUUUAGAUACAUUUUCUGUCAUUAAUUUACUUAAUGACUUAGUUUUUCAUGUCGAAUCAAAUAAAGUAUUUUGAUUCUACAAUUCAGCCCAUAAUGUCAUAGUACGGUCAAUUAGUUGUAAUAUUAAUCAUGUUUUACUGCUAGGUUCAUUUUUCCUUUUCCCGGCAGAAAUGGGCUUCCACAGUAUUGCUCUUAUAAAUUAAAAAGUAGGCACAAAUCGUGUAGAAUUCAAGCUAUAAAAUAUUUUCAAACAUUAAUAAAAUCCUCCUUCCAGCAGCGUCCACGUGGGCGGAAGAAGGCCGCUGGGACCGCACAGAGCCGGGGCCCCGUGAGAAGGCCGCUGGUGGUGAAGGCUGUGUGGAGUAGGGGGGGGGGGGGGCAGAUGGGAGAUGCUGGUUCGAUCCUGUCACAUGUCAAGUGGCUUCGGGGGGGUAACGGCCGCUGUGAUUGAUUGGGUACAGUCUUUAGGCACAAGUGGUGUCUGUUCUGUCGCCCCUCCAUCCGCACAGGGAGUGAGCCAUCCACUGUCUCUCCACGGUG
Gasterosteus aculeatus aculeatus (three-spined stickleback) is the source of this 1221-nucleotide long non-coding RNA. NCBI's taxonomy places the organism in Eukaryota, Metazoa, Chordata, Actinopteri, Perciformes, Gasterosteidae. The record is from Ensembl.